This 494-nucleotide ribosomal RNA is filed under the name Pseudomonas citronellolis. RNAcentral's name for it is "bacterial SSU rRNA". It matches the Rfam family "Bacterial small subunit ribosomal RNA", at positions 32 to 523 of the family's 1533-position model. The record is from RNAcentral. Lineage: Bacteria; Pseudomonadati; Pseudomonadota; Gammaproteobacteria; Pseudomonadales; Pseudomonadaceae.
AACGCUGAUCGGCAGGCCUAACACAUGCAAGUCGAGCGGAUGAAGGGAGCUUGCUCCCUGAUUCAGCGGCGGACGGGUGAGUAAUGCCUAGGAAUCUGCCUGGUAGUGGGGGACAACGUUCCGAAAGGAGCGCUAAUACCGCAUACGUCCUACGGGAGAAAGUGGGGGAUCUUCGGACUCUCACGCUAUCAGAUGAGCCUAGGUCGGAUAUAGCUAGUAGGUGCGGGUAUAUGCGCUCACCUAGGCGACGAUCCGUAACUGCGUCUGAGAGGAUGAUCAGUCACACUGCGGAACUGAGACACGUCCAGACUCCUACGGGAGGCAGCAGUGGGGAAUAUUGGCAAUGGGCGAAAGCCUGAUCCAGCCAUGCCGCGUGUGUGAAGAAGGUCUUCGGAUUGUAAAGCACUUUAAGUUGGGAGGAAGGCAGUAAGUUAUACCUUGCUGUUUGACUUACCAACAGAAUAAGCACGGUAACUCGUGCACAGCGGGGGGAA